This 674-nucleotide ribosomal RNA is filed under the name uncultured bacterium. Its description in RNAcentral is "bacterial SSU rRNA". It matches the Rfam family "Bacterial small subunit ribosomal RNA", at positions 94 to 803 of the family's 1533-position model. The record is from RNAcentral.
AGCGGCGGACGGGUUAGUAACGCGUGGGAACAUACCCUUUUCUACGGAAUAGCCUCGGGAAACUGAGAGUAAUACCGUAUACGCCCUUUUGGGGAAAGAUUUAUCGGUGAAGGAUUGGCCCGCGUUUGAUUAGAUAGUUGGUGGGGUAAUGGCCUACCAAGUCUACGAUCAAUAGCUGGUUUGAGAGGAUGAUCAGCAACACUGGGACUGAGACACGGCCCAGACUCCUACGGGAGGCAGCAGUGGGGAAUCUUAGACAAUGGGCGCAAGCCUGAUCUAGCCAUGCCGCGUGAGUGACGAAGGCCUUAGGGUCGUAAAGCUCUUUCGCCAGAGAUGAUAAUGACAGUAUCUAGUAAAGAAACCCCGGCUAACUCCGUGCCAGCAGCCGCGGUAAUACGGAGGGGGUUAGCGUUGUUCGGAAUUACUGGGCGUAAAGCGUACGUAGGCGGAUUAGAAAGUAGGGGGUGAAAUCCCAGGGCUCAACCCUGGAACUGCCUCCUAAACUACUAGUCUAGAGUUCGAGAGAGGUGAGUGGAAUUCCAAGUGUAGAGGUGAAAUUCGUAGAUAUUUGGAGGAACACCAGUGGCGAAGGCGGCUCACUGGCUCGAUACUGACGCUGAGGUACGAAAGUGUGGGGAGCAAACAGGAUUAGAUACCCUGGUAGUCCACACCGA